UACGUAGGUGGCAAGCGUUAUCCGGAAUUAUUGGGCGUAAAGCGCGCGCAGGUGGUUUCUUAAGUCUGAUGUGAAAGCCCACGGCUCAACCGUGGAGGGUCAUUGGAAACUGGGAGACUUGAGUGCAGAAGAGGAAAGUGGAAUUCCAUGUGUAGCGGUGAAAUGCGUAGAGAUAUGGAGGAACACCAGUGGCGAAGGCGACUUUCUGGUCUGUAACCGACACUGAGGCGCGAAAGCGUGGGGAGCAAACAGG
Molecule: ribosomal RNA, 253 nt
Filed under: uncultured bacterium
Lineage: Bacteria
Description: partial 16S ribosomal RNA
Rfam family: Bacterial small subunit ribosomal RNA
Source: RNAcentral